RNAcentral lists this ribosomal RNA (253 nucleotides) under uncultured bacterium. RNAcentral describes it as "partial 16S ribosomal RNA". It matches the Rfam family "Bacterial small subunit ribosomal RNA", at positions 524 to 776 of the family's 1533-position model. The record is from RNAcentral.
UACAGAGGAGGCAAGCGUUGUUCGGAAUUACUGGGCGUAAAGCGCGUGUAGGCGGCUCUUCAAGUCAGACGUGAAAGCCCCGGGCUUAACUCGGGAACUGCGUUUGAUACUGUCGAGCUAGAGUGUGGAAGGGGCGAUUGGAAUUCCGUGUGUAGCGGUGAAAUGCGUAGAUAUACGGAGGAACACCAGAGGCGAAGGCGGAUCGCUGGGCCAACACUGACGCUGAGACGCGAAAGCUAGGGGAGCAAACGGG